RNAcentral lists this ribosomal RNA (433 nucleotides) under uncultured bacterium. Its description in RNAcentral is "partial 16S ribosomal RNA". It matches the Rfam family "Bacterial small subunit ribosomal RNA", at positions 29 to 507 of the family's 1533-position model. The record is from RNAcentral.
AACGAACGCUGGCGGCAUGCCUAACACAUGCAAGUCGAACGAGACCUUCGGGUCUAGUGGCGCACGGGUGCGUAACGCGUGGGAAUCUGCCCUUGGGUUCGGAAUAACAGUUGGAAACGACUGCUAAUACCGGAUGAUGACGUAAGUCCAAAGAUUUAUCGCCCAGGGAUGAGCCCGCGUAGGAUUAGCUAGUUGGUGGGGUAAAGGCCUACCAAGGCGACGAUCCUUAGCUGGUCUGAGAGGAUGAUCAGCCACACUGGGACUGAGACACGGCCCAGACUCCUACGGGAGGCAGCAGUGGGGAAUAUUGGACAAUGGGCGAAAGCCUGAUCCAGCAAUGACGCGUGAGUGAUGAAGGCCUUAGGGUUGUAAAGCUCUUUUACCCGGGAUGAUAAUGACAGUACCGGGAGAAUAAGCCCCGGCUAACUCCGUG